CGCCUUCAAAAAUUAGAGCUUUUCGCCUAUCUUCCAGCCGUCGGCGCAAGCCGGCUAUGGCGAUAAAGGACGCGUGCAAUAAGCGGAUCGGACCCGGGGGCGGUACCCGGCGGCUCCACCCAAGCCCGUGAGGAAGGCGGGUUUCGGCGGGGCCGAACUAGGAUCGACGGACGUGUAAAGACGACGUUUUCGCCCGGAUGGUCUCCGUUAUUGGACCAAAUCUGAUAGUUGCCAACGACAACUACUCGGAAGAGUUCGCUCUCGCUGCGUAACGCAGCUGAACGGCUCAAAGCCUUCAAGUCCUGAUCCUUUCCACGGAUCAGGCGGGGCCCCCCGGCGCCUGGCAACAGAAGCCGGGGACU
This 362-nucleotide transfer-messenger RNA is filed under the name Parvularculaceae bacterium. It matches the Rfam family "Alphaproteobacteria transfer-messenger RNA". From Rfam's summary of the family: Bacterial tmRNA, also known as 10Sa RNA or SsrA, is named for its dual tRNA and mRNA-like properties. Its role is to liberate the mRNA from a stalled ribosome. Lineage: Bacteria; Pseudomonadati; Pseudomonadota; Alphaproteobacteria; Parvularculales; Parvularculaceae. The record is from RNAcentral.